RNAcentral lists this ribosomal RNA (154 nucleotides) under Alteromonas sp. RNAcentral describes it as "partial 16S ribosomal RNA". It matches the Rfam family "Bacterial small subunit ribosomal RNA", at positions 378 to 524 of the family's 1533-position model. Lineage: Bacteria; Pseudomonadati; Pseudomonadota; Gammaproteobacteria; Alteromonadales; Alteromonadaceae. The record is from RNAcentral.
GGAACCUGAUGCAGCCAUGCCGCGUGUGUGAAGAAGGCCUUCGGGUUGUAAAGCACUUUCAGUUGUGAGGAAAGGUUGGUAGUUAAUACCUGCCAGCUGUGACGUUAACAACAGAAGAAGCACCGGCUAACUCCGUGCCAGCAGCCGCGGUAAU